Molecule: ribosomal RNA, 492 nt
Filed under: uncultured bacterium
Lineage: Bacteria
Description: partial 16S ribosomal RNA
Rfam family: Bacterial small subunit ribosomal RNA
Source: RNAcentral
AGUGAACGCUGGCGGUAGGCCUAACACAUGCCAGUCGAACGGCAGCACAGUAAGAGCUUGCUCUUACGGGUGGCGAGUGGCGGACGGGUGAGGAAUACAUCGGAAUCUACUUUUUCGUGGGGGAUAACGUAGGGAAACUUACGCUAAUACCGCAUACGACCUACGGGUGAAAGCAGGGGAUCUUCGGACCUUGCGCGAUUGAAUGAGCCGAUGUCGGAUUAGCUAGUUGGCGGGGUAGAGGCCCACCAAGGCGACGAUCCGUAGCUGGUCUGAGAGGAUGAUCAGCCACACUGGAACUGAGACACGGUCCAGACUCCUACGGGAGGCAGCAGUGGGGAAUAUUGGACAAUGGGCGCAAGCCUGAUCCAGCCAUACCGCGUGGGUGAAGAAGGCCUUCGGGUUGUAAAGCCCUUUUGUUGGGAAAGAAAAGCAGCAGGUUAAUACCCCGCUGUUCUGACGGUACCCAAAGAAUAAGCACCGGCUAACUUCGUG